GACGAACGUUGGCGGCGUGCUUAAUACAUGCAAGUCAACUGAAGCAGUGGUAGCAAUAUCGCUGUGGAGGUGGCGCACGGGUGAGUAACACGUAGGUAAUCUGCCUUCAGGUCUGGCAUAACUCCGGGAAACCGGGGCUAAUAGCAGAUGAUGCAGCGGCUCGACAUCGAGACAGUUGUUAAAGCUAUGGCGCCUGAAGAUGAGCCUGCGUCUGAUUAGCUAGUUGGCGGGGUAACGGCCCACCAAGGCAACGAUCAGUAGCUGGUCUGAGAGGAUGAUCAGCCACACUGGAACUGAGACACGGUCCAGACUCCUACGGGAGGCAGCAGUAAGGAAUAUUGCUCAAUGGGAGAAAUCCUGAAGCAGCAACGCAGCGGGAGGGACGAAGGGCUUUUGCUUGUAAACCUCUGUAGUGAGAGAAAAAAAUCCCAAUCUUUGGGACAUGAUGGUAUCUCAAAAGUAAGCCCCGGCUAACUACGUG
This 481-nucleotide ribosomal RNA is filed under the name uncultured bacterium. Its description in RNAcentral is "partial 16S ribosomal RNA". It matches the Rfam family "Bacterial small subunit ribosomal RNA", at positions 28 to 507 of the family's 1533-position model. The record is from RNAcentral.